AAUGAACGUUGGCGGCAUGGAUUAGGCAUGCAAGUCGAGCGCGAAGAGUCAUUUGCUUGCAUUUGACUCUGAAAGCGGCGUAAGGGUGAGUAACGCGUAGUUACCUACCUCCGGGUCCGGAAUAGCUGCGGGAAACUGCAGUUAAUGCCGGAUAAUAUCUCAGGAUCAAAGGUGAGAUCCCGCCCGGAGAGGGGACUGCGUCCUACUAGCUUGUUGGUGGGGUAAUGGCCUACCAAGGCUUCGAUGGGUAGCGGGCGUGAGAGCGUGGCCCGUCACACUGGGACUGAGACACUGCCCAGACACCUACGGGUGGCUGCAGUCGAGAAUCUUCGGCAAUGGGCGAAAGCCUGACCGAGCAAUGCCGCGUGCGGGAUGAAGGCCCUCGGGUUGUAAACCGCGAAAGUAAGGAGGAAGGACCUGCGAAGAGCAGGUUUUGACCGAUCUACAGUAAGGACGGGCUAAGUUCGUGCCAGCCGCCGCCGUAA
Molecule: ribosomal RNA, 485 nt
Filed under: uncultured bacterium
Lineage: Bacteria
Description: partial 16S ribosomal RNA
Rfam family: Bacterial small subunit ribosomal RNA
Source: RNAcentral